GGAUGGUUUCUCAAGAGUAUCAUUGUUAAGUCUGAAGAGGAAGAUAGUAGUCAGGAGGUGCUGUUUCCAUGCAACAGGUGGGCUAUUAUCAUUAUGCAAAGUUAUGCAAAGUGAUGCUCUCCCUGGGCCAGUUCAUUUCAGCUGGGUGGUCCCAGCUGUUAGUGUACACCAAUUCCUCUCUUAAAAUCAAAGUCGAAGGUCUUCUCAGGAAGCCGCUCCUAUGAGCAUUAACAGUUCUCUAUUUGUAAUAUUCAACAUUUUCCUCUUCUGGAAUAAGUAUGCUGAGAUGGAACGAAAACUGGAUUAGGACCCAGAAUAAAGGUUCUUAUCUCUGUUUCUCAAAUACUUGCUAGCAUACUGCUAGUUCUGGGUACUUCUUUCAACUUUUCUCAAGUUCAGUGUCCUCAUUUGUAAGGCAGGAAUAAUGCUUUAUUUCCCUAGUUCAUUUGAAUCAUUUAAACCCAAAUGAAAUUAUGUGCAUGAACUCUGAACUCCUUUAUACUAAGAUGGCUAAUAAUAAUAAGAGAAUCAAACUUCAAGGGCAGCUGUGUAAUUUCUUGGCCAAGUAGCCAUAGGUGAAUCACUUAAACUCUGAUCCCCAGUUUUCAAAAUCUUAUGAUUAUAAAGAUUAAAUCUUCCCUACUUACUUUAUAGAGGUGAUGCAAAUAGAAUAUCAAGAAUAGCUUACGUGUGGAAUAUGAUAUGUCAAGAAAUUUGUAAUGUUUUGAACAACCCACAAUAAAAAAUUAAAAAAAAAAGAAUAUCUUACAACAAAAUGCACUAAAAAUCGACAUUAUGAAAUUAACCCAUUAUGUCCCAAGUUUUUAAUUCUGCUAAUCUAACAAUUAUCCAAAUAUUAUUUCAAAGUUAUCAUAGUGGUAUAUUUGUUGCCCAAUUACCCUUUUAGUAGAUGUUCCACAUCUGGAAUGAUGGGACAAAAUGGUGGUAAUUUCUGUUCAUUAUCAACUAAUCUGUAGAGUGUGUUGAUCCACUUGUUCAGUCUUCAUGCAAUAGGAAUUGACCAGCUUCCAUAUCAAGAAGUGGAAUACACAUUGGAGGCCCAGCAGAAAGGAGUCCUAUCUCUCUCAGCAGGGACCCCUUGCCUCCCACAUACGCACCAGUGUUAGCCUAAUGGCCAUGGGAGAGACUUGCACUGUGAGGACUCAGGUUUCAGGAUGUUACAUUUAUGUGACUGCAUGUUCCUUUGAUCUGGAGAACUCAUGCCUUGCAUUUUGUGUAUUACUUUAGUCCUCUAUUUAUUCAUGCAAAACCAUGGCAUGGAAAUUUGGAUUUAUAGGAACAGAAUGAUGCAGAUGAAAAUAUUUGGUGUCAGGCACUACACCAAGUCCUGGAUAUAUAGAGAUAAAAAUAAAGAUCUCCUGUCUUCAAAGAGCUCUCACUUGAUGACUGAUAAGGGAGGAGGGAUGUAAUUCUAAAUGAAGCUGGAGAGCUGGGUGUGCUCUUUAGCAGAUGGGUUGACUUCACUAUUCCCUAAAGUGAUUUAUACUCUAUCAGACUUGCAGAGAAGCACACUGGGUGGCUGGCUGGAUUUUACUUUACUCUUUUUGAUUCUAGGAAAUAUCCACUCUUUUGAAACUUAAUAAGGAAUUUCAUUCUUUAUGAACGAAAUUUAAAACACUUUUCUUAUCUUCUUCCCCAACCCAGUACACAUUCCUUUAAAAUGCAUGUGUACCAUAGUAGUUAUUGACAUUUUACAAAGUUAAAGUUCUCAGAAGAGACCUUAUAUUUUUGUUUUUGCAAGAAAUCUUUCUUAUUAAUUAAAGAACAGUGAAAGGAGCAAAGAUUCAUGAUUUUCAGAAAUAGAUUUGAAUAAUAACACAUUACUAACUAGCUCUGACAACUUUCAGUUUAUUCAUAAUGCCUAUUUUGCAGGGUUGUUUUAGGAUUUCAAUGUAUAUAAAGUACUUGCAAAAAUGGCUUGUGAUUAUUAGAAGCUGUAGGGUAGCAAAUGUCAUAGAAGCAAUUGUAAAUAUAAGAAAUCUUCAGAGGCAAAACCAAACCAAAUGGAACAGGAAAACUCACUUUUAUUUCUAGAUCAUAUAUCAAUUACGUAGAAUUCUCCAAAUAAUUGGCUUUUAAAAAAAUAUGUAUCUGCAUAGUCCAAUGUGGUAGCAAUCAUUAGCCACAAUUACAUUUAAAUUAAUUGAAAUCAAAUAAAACUUUAAAAUCAGUUAUUUGGUUGUACUGUCUACAUAUUAAGUGCUCAAAUUUGGCCACAUGCAUAUAACAUUUCAUUCUAUAUCACAUCUAGAUAAUUGAUAUUAUACGAAGCUAUGUUUAAUAUUAUGUGAUAUAGUUUUAUUGUUUUGAAUGAGAUGGUAUCUAUGAGAUAUCAUGAAAAUAAAUAAAAGAUGAUGAUUUUUCUAAGUGUGUCACAUUUAAGACAAAGAAUUGUUCUGAGCAGAUGAUAAGAGUCAUGUUCUCUUCAGAGCCAAAAUUAAUUUUACUGGCAAGGUAAAGGAGUAGAAGUCAAAAUGGAGGUGACUUAUUCCUACGUUUCUAAAUAAUUACAAGCCUUGGAAAUUUGAUUUAUAGGAAUAAGAUGUUGUAGAUGAAAAUAUUUAAGAUGAUGUAUUAUUCAACACAACAUUAUAUUAAAUAUUGCAUACAGGUGUAUCAUUGCAUGUCAUCCUUAACUGAAUUAUGGCAGUAUUAACUGUUUUCCUUGCUCAUUUUCUCUGAUGACCCAGGGUUAGAUAAGUACAAAAAGAGAAGUUUUCUAGCUAUUUCUUCAGAAGUGGAAGAAACCAAAGAUAACCUACUUUAUGCCUUGUUUGACAGACAAGAAAACUGACUCUCCAAGAGAUGAAUGACAUGCCCAACUCAUAGAAGAGUUAGCCAGAGAGCUGGGUCUCUGUGAUCCUGAACUCUCAGAGAAUUUUAAUCCAGUGUCUCUCCAUCUGUCUUUUCCAUUGUAUCACCAUGAUCUUGUGUAUUGUCCUUUAGGAAAAAUAUCUCCACACAAAAUGCUGAAUUUUCUAUAAAAUUGUUUUGUCUGAAAAUUCUAAUGACAUUUUGGAGAGUUUUGAAGACCCAGGUUUUACUAUCUUCACAGCAGAGUUUAUCAGUUAUUUAAAUUCACAUCCCCUUUUAAUUAUGAGAAUAGAAAAGGCCUCUGAGAAACAAAGUUAUUUAUAGCUUUAUUGCAGAGUUAAGAAACAGCAGAUUUCUUCUGUUGUGGGACUCUCUAAGGUUGACACGGCUCAUGCGUCCGUCAAUCUUUCAUCACUGAGAAAAACAACUUAGAGGAGGAAAAGCUUAUUUUGAUUCAUGAUUUUGGAGGUUUCAUGGAGCUGUGGACAUCUGGGUUCAUUACUUUGAACUUGUAGUGAGGCAGAACAUGAAGGGAGAGUACAACAGAGGAAAACUGCCAGAUCAUGGCAUCCAGGAAACUGAGAGAGAGAGGAAGGGGCCAGAGAGAAGUUAGACCCUUCCAGGGUACUCUCCCUGUGACCUGCUUUCUCCAACGAGGUCCUGGUAAUCUGUUCAACACUCAAUGAACUAAUCCACUAAUGAUGUCAGAGCCCCCAUGAUCCAAUCACUACCUAAAAAUCCCAACUCUGAGCCUGGCUGCCCUGGGGACCACGCUUUCAACACACAAGCUUUUGGGGGAUAUUCCAGAUUUAAUCUGUAAGAGCUAUCUCCCGUAUUGCUGGAGAGAAAAAUCAGAAGAAUAUCCAUGGCAGUGUUUAUUUGACUUGUAUCACAGGGUAGGCUCAAGGUAAAGCCAGAACUCCACACACAGACUCAUGAUCCUCACGGUAAAGCUUAGGUGGGCUCUGUGGUACUUCUAUUUCACAGACAAGGAAACUGAGGCAAAAGAACAGUUUUUAUUCAAAAAUAUAUAUUGGUGGAAUACAUAACUAUAAUAAAUAAAGCUGAUGGAAACAGAAUUCAGAUCAAAAUAUGUCCAGUUCCAGAAUUGUCUGCUUUUACCUGGAAACCACAGCCACAUAUAUCUAGCAAAUUCCUCCAUUGAGACUAAUUUGAAUUUAAAGAUGUAGCACAAAAAAGAAUGUAACAUAAUCUUCAUAUUGAUUAUAUGUUUAAGUAAUCUUUUUUAAUUUUUUGAAUUUGAAGGAAAUGAAAAAUAUUAAAAUUCACCUUUUACCCUCUACAUUAUUUAUUUUUUGCAUAUGUGGUUCAUGUCUUAUUUAAUAUUUCUCUUGCAGAGUGCCAUGAUAGAGUCUGAGGGUUUGGCCGCAAUGUACAACUGCUAGUCACAUGCCAGGAGAGAAAUCAAGGCUGUCACAAACAGUACUCCAAAUGAGAAAUAUUUACUGAUUUUAAGAUGCAUUAAAAUAUAGGUAAUGUUUCCAGAGGACUUUUUUAAAAACCAAAAUUUUAGAGUGAACUAAUGUGACCUUGCAACUCAAGUGUAGGACAGUUUUGCUGAAGUUAACUAAAGACAAUUUGGAGUGGCUUGAAAUUGCAAAUGCUUUUUAAAAAUUUGGAGCUUCUGCCCAAAGAUCUCUUUAAUCCAUUUUAUAUUUUACUCUUUCACAUAAUGUACUUUCUUUCAAUACUCUCUCUUAUUAAUUAUCUCCUCUUUCCAUGGCAGAUGGCUAGAUGAGUAUCAAGAUGACGGCAGGACAGAGCUGGAAUUGAUUGCAGAGAGUAGCCAUGGUGAAGGCAGAUGGACAGGACCAGCCACCUCCUGAAAGGGGACACUGGGAGUCGUCACUCCACUGAGCUUCAAGUGGCUAUGGGUCUGAUCAUGACCAUGUGUUUGCUUAGACUGAAGCAAACACCUGGGGAGGGUCAGUUCAGCUGGGACACAUUCUCUGCUUUUGAGAACUUCCAAAGUUGGGAGAAGCAUUGAGACAGACCAUCAGCCAAUGACUGACCAGGAUCAGCCUCUGAUGUCUGGACUGUGCACACCACUAUUUCUUUCUUCCUCCCUUCUUCUUCUUUCUUCUCCAACUUCCCCUUCCUUCCUCCUCUUUCAGAAACUUAGACACCUAUUAAGUUUACUGAAAUGUUUAGAUAGCUAUCUUUUGCAAGUGAAGAAGUAACAUUUGAUUAAUGUAAAAUACUAUUUUGCAACAUACAUUAAUUUCAAAGUGGAAGUCUUAAUUUUAGCUGAUGCCAUGUCUCUGUUAGUAUUGGUGGCAGUAUCAAUAAGAAAAAUAUCAAAAGAAAUGGAUUGAUUGGGUUAUCUUUCAUCCUCAUUGCCCUUUGCACUGGUCCUAGCGAGACUGGGUCUUCUGUGAGCUUAGAAGUUGGACCUACAGGUAGACAGUAACAGAGCACCAUGCAGGAAAUGUAUCUGGAGGCAGAUAUCUGACAUUUAUUAGUCCCUUUCCCCCAUGAAGUCUCAAAUAUGUGUCAUUGUUGUACCUCAGGCAGACGCUUCCAAUCCUUCAAAUUGGCACAAGAGAUAAAACCCCUCUGCCAUCCAGGAGAGAUCUUGGUAUGGCUUAUAAUAUCAGAGAUGCCUGUGUUCCAGUCUCAAUCCUGCAACUGUGAGGUAAUGACUAUCAUCAUCCCCAUUCUGCAGAUGAGAAAACCAAGACUUGGAAAGGCCAAGUGACUUGCCCAAACUCAUAGAAAGAGAUGAACAGGAGAUCUGGGAUUGGAACCCAGUGGUCUGGCUCCAGCCUUUGAGCAUACACAUGAUUUUCCCUACCUUAUUGUCUUCUCCACCUGUUUUAGUACCCUAUGAAAUCAUGCAGAGGGGACCAGUGAAUCUCCUCAGGUUCACUUCCUUCAUGGUUUCCGUCAUAUGCAGCUAUAACCUGAACUAUUAUAUACUUGUUUUAAACUGUCUUUAAAACAGGUAAUUUGGUGGUAGAGGAGAGCUGAGCCUCAUCUGAAACGAUGUCGAUAAUAUCCAUGAUAUCACUAAUUUAAUGUCAUAUAUUUUUUUCCUAAAGCACAUUAAAAUUAAUCUAUAUCUGAUGAACUUUUAGGUUAAUCUAUUUACAACCUAAGAUUCAUUAUAGACAUCCAAAAUUAUGCAUUUCACCAUUUGGAAAAGCACCUAGAAUACAUGUAUAUACCUAUUUCACUCUAAGCCUAGCAUAUAGUGAUCAGUAAGUGACAUUUCAAUUAAAGAGAUUAUUGUUAACAUGGUUUACCUUUUAGCACCCCUUCGUAAUUGUAUAUUUUAUAUCUGAGAAUAAAAACACAUCAAGAAUUAAGUUUCGGUGAUUUACAUUUUGCUACAGUUUGGAUCCAGAAUGUUCUCAGUGCAAAGGUUAGAAUUGGACCCCAGCCUGGUGCUAUUGGGAAGUGGUGGGAACCUCAAGAGGUGGGACCUGGUGCAAGACCUUCAGGUCACUGGAGGCUCCUGAAAGGGAUCCUGCAACCCAGCCCCUCCUCUUUCUCCUUCACUUCCAGGCCAGGAGAUAAGUGCAUCUGCUUCACCCUGCAUUCCAGCCAUGACACACUGCCCGAGCACAAAUCAACAGGGCCUGUGGAUCAUGAAAUGAAACUUCUAAAACUGUGAGCCAAACUAAUCUCCCUCCUCCCUCCCUCCCUCCCUCUCUCUCUCUCCUUCCUUCCUUCCUUCCUUCCUUCCUUCCUUCCUUCCUUCUUUUCUUUUCUUUC
Molecule: long non-coding RNA, 6573 nt
Filed under: Marmota monax (woodchuck)
Lineage: Eukaryota; Metazoa; Chordata; Mammalia; Rodentia; Sciuridae
Source: RNAcentral